RNAcentral lists this transfer RNA (71 nucleotides) under Stegodyphus mimosarum. It matches the Rfam family "tRNA". Rfam says of the family: Transfer RNA (tRNA) molecules are approximately 80 nucleotides in length. Their secondary structure includes four short double-helical elements and three loops (D, anti-codon, and T loops). Further hydrogen bonds mediate the characteristic L-shaped molecular structure. tRNAs have two regions of fundamental functional importance: the anti-codon, which is responsible for specific mRNA codon recognition, and the 3' end, to which the tRNAs corresponding amino acid is attached (by aminoacyl-tRNA synthetases). tRNAs cope with the degeneracy of the genetic code in two manners: having more than one tRNA (with a specific anti-codon) for a particular amino acid; and 'wobble' base-pairing, i.e. permitting non-standard base-pairing at the 3rd anti-codon position. Lineage: Eukaryota; Metazoa; Arthropoda; Arachnida; Araneae; Eresidae. The record is from Rfam by way of RNAcentral.
GCAUCUUUAGUUCAGUGGUAGAAUGUUCGCCUGCCGCGCGGGCGGCCCGGGUUCGAUUCCCGGCCGAUGUA